RNAcentral lists this ribosomal RNA (320 nucleotides) under uncultured Prevotella sp. RNAcentral's name for it is "bacterial SSU rRNA". It matches the Rfam family "Bacterial small subunit ribosomal RNA", at positions 28 to 339 of the family's 1533-position model. The record is from RNAcentral. Lineage: Bacteria; Pseudomonadati; Bacteroidota; Bacteroidia; Bacteroidales; Prevotellaceae.
GAUGAACGCUAGCUACAGGCUUAACACAUGCAAGUCGAGGGGCAGCAUGAAGGAAGCUUGCUUUCUUUGAUGGCGACCGGCGCACGGGUGAGUAACGCGUAUCCAACCUUCCCCAUAGUAGAGAAUAGCCCGGCGAAAGUCGGAUUAAUGCUCUAUGUUGUAUUUCGAUGACAUCUGAGGAAUACCAAAGGUUCACCGCUAUGGGAUGGGGAUGCGUCUGAUUAGGUUGUUGGCGGGGUAACGGCCCACCAAGCCCGCGAUCAGUAGGGGUUCUGAGAGGAAGGUCCCCCACAUUGGAACUGAGACACGGUCCAAACUCC